This 247-nucleotide long non-coding RNA is filed under the name Brassica napus (rape). Its description in RNAcentral is "long non-coding RNA (BNAP_LNC023467)". The record is from RNAcentral. Lineage: Eukaryota; Viridiplantae; Streptophyta; Magnoliopsida; Brassicales; Brassicaceae.
ACCUCAAAAACAUAUAAUCAGAUCAAUCAAUUUAAUCGAACUUAGCAUACAAUCUUAAACCUCAAGACAUUAGAUUUUAUCAUGGAUCUAUCAACCUAGCAUACGGAUUCUCAAUUCUCAAAGACAUCCAAAUCAGAUCAAUAUAACCUAUCAUACGGAUUAUUUAGGGUUUCUAUUUAAAACAGAUCAGAUUACAAAACUUUCAAUCCUAGCAAAUGAUAUUAAACCUCAAGAAUCAUGCAAUCAG